AUAUCAUUAAUAAGUAAUUUAGCCACAAACAAUCGUUAAAAAAUAAUAUCUCAUCAUAAAAAACUUUGUAUCGGAUCGAUGAAAAAUGUUAUCAUUUCUUUGUGUGUAAAUAUUAAGUUACGUUACGUUACGCAAUAAAUAUAUUAUAUAUAUAUUAGUUUAUCGAAGCGAGAUAUAUAUAAAUUUAUAUAUAUAUAUAAUGAAAACUAUAUAAAUCGGAGCUUGUAGUAUUAAGAAAAUAAAGGAGGAGAGGAAGAGAAAACAAAGAAAUAUUCGCAUUUAUAUUAUACAGUUCGGAUGUUUUGCAAUAUUCUUUGUUUUUAUUGCUUCUGGCAAAUAUAUAUAUCUGUUAUGUUUAAGAAUAGAUAUAGUAUGUAUGUCUGUGUGUGUGUAUGUGUGCGUGAAAUGGCAAAGUAGCUCCGAAAAAACUCAUUUCACUGCUGUUUCUACUUCUCAACAUUGUGCCUUCGUUAUUAUAAACAGACUGAGUUUAUGUAGAAGUGACAAUAAAAGAAUUGGAUGUUUGAAUCUGUCUUUUGAAGAAACAAGGAAUAUUUUCUAUGCGUUUUUUUUUCUAAAAGUUAAUAAAAGAUCCAAUUGUAAAUUUUUAAAUAUUGGUUUUAUUUCUUAUUCCAUGAUCUUUAAAACGAUA
Molecule: long non-coding RNA, 652 nt
Filed under: Androctonus crassicauda
Lineage: Eukaryota; Metazoa; Arthropoda; Arachnida; Scorpiones; Buthidae
Source: RNAcentral